RNAcentral lists this non-coding RNA (26 nucleotides) under Homo sapiens (human). The record is from RNAcentral. Lineage: Eukaryota; Metazoa; Chordata; Mammalia; Primates; Hominidae.
UCCAUCGUCUCCAGGGCCUGCAAUAA